This 299-nucleotide signal recognition particle RNA is filed under the name Saimiri boliviensis boliviensis (Bolivian squirrel monkey). Its description in RNAcentral is "Metazoan signal recognition particle RNA (ENSSBOG00000001442.1)". It matches the Rfam family "Metazoan signal recognition particle RNA". From Rfam's summary of the family: The signal recognition particle (SRP) is a universally conserved ribonucleoprotein. Lineage: Eukaryota; Metazoa; Chordata; Mammalia; Primates; Cebidae. The record is from RNAcentral.
UCUGUGCGCGGUGGUGCGUGCCUGUAGUCCCAGCUACUUGGGAGGCUGAGGUGGGAGGAUCACUUGAGUCCAGAAGCUCUGGGCUGUAGUCCGCUACGCCGAUUGGGUGUCUGCCCUAAAUUCGACAUCAAUAUGGUGACCGCCAGGGAGCAGGGGACCACCAGGUUGCCUAAGGAGGGGUGAACCGGCCCAGGUCAGAAACGGAGCAGGUCAAAACACCCAUGCUGAUCAGUACUGGGAUCGCGCCUGUGAAUAGCCACUGCACUCCAGCCUGGGCAACAUAGCGAGACCCCGUCUCU